UACGUAGGGGGCAAGCGUUGUCCGGAAUCAUUAGGCGUAAAGAGCGUGUAGGCGGCCCGAUAAGUCCGCCGUGAAAGUCCAGGGCUCAACCCUGGAAUGCCGGUGGAAACUGUCGGGCUGGAGUCCGGAAGAGGCGAGUGGAAUUCCUGGUGUAGCGGUGAAAUGCGCAGAUAUCAGGAGGAACACCAAUGGCGAAGGCAGCUUGCUGGGACGGUACUGACGCUGAGGCGCGAAAGCGUGGGGAGCAAACAGG
RNAcentral lists this ribosomal RNA (253 nucleotides) under uncultured bacterium. RNAcentral's name for it is "partial 16S ribosomal RNA". It matches the Rfam family "Bacterial small subunit ribosomal RNA", at positions 524 to 776 of the family's 1533-position model. The record is from RNAcentral.